This 422-nucleotide ribosomal RNA is filed under the name uncultured bacterium. Its description in RNAcentral is "bacterial SSU rRNA". It matches the Rfam family "Bacterial small subunit ribosomal RNA", at positions 358 to 772 of the family's 1533-position model. The record is from RNAcentral.
GGAAUAUUGGACAAUGGGCGCAAGCCUGAUCCAGCCAUGCCGCGUGUGUGAAGAAGGCCUUCGGGUUGUAAAGCACUUUCAGCGGGGAGGAAGGGUGUUGUGUUAAUAGCACCGCAUUUGUACGUUACCCGCAGAAGCAGCACCGGCUAACUCCGGUCCAGCAGCAGCGGUAAUACGGAGGGUGCCAGCGUUAAUCGGAAUUACUGGGCGUAAAGCGAACGUAGGCGGUAUGUUAAGUUGGAUGUGAAAGCCCCGGGCUCAACCUGGGAAUUGCAUUCAAAACUGGCAUGCUAGAGUAUGUGAGAGGGGGGUAGAAUUCCAAGUGUAGCGGUGAAAUGCGUAGAGAUUUGGAGGAAUACCAGUGGCGAAGGCGGCCCCCUGGCACAAUACUGACGCUCAGGUGCGAAAGCGUGGGGAGCAAA